Molecule: ribosomal RNA, 277 nt
Filed under: uncultured Gammaproteobacteria bacterium
Lineage: Bacteria; Pseudomonadati; Pseudomonadota; Gammaproteobacteria
Description: partial 16S ribosomal RNA
Rfam family: Bacterial small subunit ribosomal RNA
Source: RNAcentral
AACACAUGCAAGUCGAACGGUAACAGCAGAGCUUGCUCUGGCUGACGAGUGGCGGACGGGUGAGUAAUGAAUAGGAAUCUGCCUAGUAGUGGGGGACAACCUGGUGAAAACCAGGCUAAUACCGCAUACGCCCUACGGGGGAAAGGGGGCUUCGGCUCUCGCUAUUAGAUGAGCCUAUUUCUGAUUAGCUUGUUGGUGAGGUAAUGGCUCACCAAGGCAACGAUCAGUAGCUGGUCUGAGAGGAUGAUCAGCCACACUGGGACUGAGACACGGCCCA